GGCAAAGUUAUCAUUCAUUUGUCUGAUUUUCCUGGUCAUUGCCUGUGUGUUUGCAGCGCCGGGCCCACACAAAUUUGGUGGUGGCAAACGCGGCGGCCAUAGUGGAGGUGGAGGCUAUGGUAGAGGCGGUGGCUAUGGUGAAGGUGGCGGAGGUGGUGGCGGCGGAGGUGGAGGCUACGGUACAGGCGGUGGCUAUGGUGGAAGCGGCGGAGGUGGCGGUGGCGGAGGUGGCGGUGGAUACUAGACGGAGACAGUGGUGGUAGCUCUAGCUGACGCUGGAGUUGCAGAUUAGCGCUUUAUAGAAUUUACAGAUAUUCAGUGGAAAAUGACACCUCAGACGUCCUAAAGAAAAUUCAAGAUCAAUGUAAAAUUCACUAAAAAAAUCAGCUUGUUAAAAUUAUUGUAAAACAAAAAAAUAAACAUACCUUC
This is a long non-coding RNA of Vanessa tameamea, 429 nucleotides long. RefSeq lists it as uncharacterized. The record is from RefSeq and is a predicted model, not a curated record. The transcript has 3 exons. Lineage: Eukaryota; Metazoa; Arthropoda; Insecta; Lepidoptera; Nymphalidae.